RNAcentral lists this ribosomal RNA (240 nucleotides) under uncultured bacterium. RNAcentral's name for it is "partial 16S ribosomal RNA". It matches the Rfam family "Bacterial small subunit ribosomal RNA", at positions 94 to 334 of the family's 1533-position model. The record is from RNAcentral.
AGUGGCGGACGGGUGAGUAACGCGUGGGUAACCUGCCUCAUACAGGGGGAUAACAGUUAGAAAUGACUGCUAAUACCGCAUAAGACCACAGCACCGCAUGGUGCAGGGGUAAAAACUCCGGUGGUAUGAGAUGGACCCGCGUCUGAUUAGGUAGUCGGUGGGGUAACGGCCUACCAAGCCGACGAUCAGUAGCCGACCUGAGAGGGUGACCGGCCACAUUGGGACUGAGACACGGCCCAA